Molecule: ribosomal RNA, 484 nt
Filed under: uncultured bacterium
Lineage: Bacteria
Description: bacterial SSU rRNA
Rfam family: Bacterial small subunit ribosomal RNA
Source: RNAcentral
GACGAACGCUGGCGGCGUGCCUAACACAUGCAAGUCGAACGGAGCUUGCUUAAACGGAGACUUCGGUCAAAGUUUUCGUAAGCUUAGUGGCGGACGGGUGAGUAACGCGUGAGUAACCUGCCGUUCAGAGGGGGACAACAGUUGGAAACGACUGCUAAUACCGCAUAAUGUGCAACCAAGGCAUCUUGGAUGUACCAAAGGAGCAAUCCGCUGUAAGAUGGGCUCGCGUCCGAUUAGGUAGUUGGUGAGGUAACGGCUCACCAAGCCUACGAUCGGUAGCCGGACUGAGAGGUCGAACGGCCACAUUGGAACUGAGAAACGGUCCAGACUCCUACGGGAGGCAGCAGUGGGGAAUAUUGGGCAAUGGGCGCAAGCCUGACCCAGCGACGCCGCGUGAGGGAAGAAGGUCUUCGGAUUGUAAACCUUUGUCAACAGGGACGAAACAAUGACGGUACCUGUGAAGGAAGCCACGGCUAACUACGUG